UCCCUGGUGGUUCAGUGAUUAGUACUCCACACUUUCACUGCUGUGGGUCCAGGUUCAAUCCCUGGUCUGGGAA
Molecule: transfer RNA, 73 nt
Filed under: Bos taurus (domestic cattle)
Lineage: Eukaryota; Metazoa; Chordata; Mammalia; Artiodactyla; Bovidae
Also listed under: 3 other names
Rfam family: tRNA
About the family: Transfer RNA (tRNA) molecules are approximately 80 nucleotides in length. Their secondary structure includes four short double-helical elements and three loops (D, anti-codon, and T loops).
Source: Rfam by way of RNAcentral